Molecule: ribosomal RNA, 268 nt
Filed under: uncultured bacterium
Lineage: Bacteria
Description: partial small subunit ribosomal RNA
Rfam family: Bacterial small subunit ribosomal RNA
Source: RNAcentral
AGGACGAACGCUGGCGGCGUGCUUAACACAUGCAAGUCGAGCGAGGUCCAUCCAAUGGCAACAUUGGUGAAGACCUAGCGGCGAACGGGUGAGUAACACGUGAGCAACCUGCCCCGAAGACCGGGAUAACAGCGGGAAACCGCUGCUAAUACCGGAUGCCCUCAUCAGGCCGCAUGACCAGAUGAGGAAAUGAAUUUCGCUUCGGGAGGGCUCGCGGGCUAUCAGCUAGUUGGUGAGGUAACGGCUCACCAAGGCUACGACGGCUAGC